AACAGGAUUAGAUACCCUGGUAGUCCACGCCGUAAACGAUGGAUACUCGCUGUGGGCGAUACACAGUCCGCGGCUUAGCGAAAGCGUUAAGUAUCCCACCUGGGGAGUACGCCGGCAACGGUGAAACUCAAAGGAAUUGACGGGGGCCCGCACAAGUGGUGGAGCAUGUGGUUUAAUUCGAUGAUACGCGAGGAACCUUACCGAGGCUAGAAUGCGCGUGACCGGCCCAGAGAUGGGCCUUUCCUUCGGGACACAAAGCAAGGUGCUGCAUGGCCGUCGUCAGCUCGUGCCGUGAGGUGUUGGGUUAAGUCCCGCAACGAGCGCAACCCCUAUGUUUAGUUGCCAGCGGAUUAUGCCGGGGACUCUAGACAGACUGCCUGCGCAAGCAGCGAGGAAGGCGGGGACGACGUCAGGUCAUCAUGGCCCUUACGCCUCGGGCUACACACGUGCUACAAUGGACGGUACAGAGGGUCGCCACGCAGCGAUGCGGAGCCAAUCUCAAAAAGCCGUUCUCAGUUCGGAUCGGAGUCUGCAACUCGACUCCGUGAAGCUGGAAUCACUAGUAAUCGCGUAUCAGCAACGACGCGGUGAAUACGUUCCCGGGCCUUGUACACACGGCCCGUCAAGCCAUGGAAGUCUGGUAGACCUAAAGCUGGUGCCCCGCAACGGAGCCAGUUAGGGUAGAACAGGUAACUGGGGCUAAGUCGUAACAAGGUAACC
Molecule: ribosomal RNA, 720 nt
Filed under: uncultured bacterium
Lineage: Bacteria
Description: bacterial SSU rRNA
Rfam family: Bacterial small subunit ribosomal RNA
Source: RNAcentral